Thalassophryne amazonica is the source of this 330-nucleotide long non-coding RNA. RefSeq lists it as uncharacterized. The record is from RefSeq and is a predicted model, not a curated record. The transcript is spliced from 2 exons. NCBI's taxonomy places the organism in Eukaryota, Metazoa, Chordata, Actinopteri, Batrachoidiformes, Batrachoididae.
GCACAGUGAUACAGUGAGGCCAAGGACUGGAGACAACUGGAUGAAGGUCACCUAGUUCACUUAUACACGACAUCACCACAGUCCAAUAAGGGCAGGAGGGGAGCAGUUAUCGGAGCUUCUGAGCACUUAAGGAGAAGCAUAACUUGUUUCUGUAAAGGAAGCCGAGCUUCAUCCUUAGUUUGGAGAUCAAGUGUUUAAGAUGAACUUUAAAAGAGAGCUCCAGGUUAGUAGUUAAUCCCAGAUACUUGUAACUGCUGACUAGCUCGAGAGUUUUACCUCGAGCAGUUUUAAUUGAUGGUAUAUCCUCCAAGGAAACAGGUGACUUUGAAA